This 125-nucleotide small RNA is filed under the name Marmota monax (woodchuck). The record is from RNAcentral. Lineage: Eukaryota; Metazoa; Chordata; Mammalia; Rodentia; Sciuridae.
GCUGGGCGUGGUAGCGCACACCUGUAAUCCCAGCAGCUCAGGAGGCUGAGACAGGAGGAUUGCAAGUUCAAAGCCAGCCUUAGCAAUGGCAAGGCACUUAGCAAUUCAGUGAGAACCUGUCUCUA